CGCCAGCAUGUGUGAAGGCUAGAGGACAGAGGCUGAUUGAAGGGUCUGGCCGGCCCUGUUUCUGGGAGUUAGGCCAUUUGACCGAGGGCCAGGUGCCUCACCAAACUCCCUCUGUACAAGUCCACCAGGUCAUUUGCUCAUAGCUGUGUUUACACAUCAGUUUUCUUCCCCAGAGUGACAACGGUGCCAACCCCAUCAUUGUCAACAAACCACUUCUUUACUUGCUUCGUUUUCUCUAAUUCUGGGACAGACAGAAGGCUUUGCAUGGCUCCAAGAGUAACGGGUUACUUGGAGUGCAUGCCUUUAAUUGAAGCACAAGGGAAGCCAAGAGAAUCCUGGAAGGGCAUCAUCCCUGUGUAGCAGGCUGACUUGCUUUGUAGCCUGGGCUCACCCACUUCAGAUCCUCUGGCUUCGUUUAGAGUUCUGACCUUUCGUGUGCUGGGAUUCUAUGUCCCACCAUGCCCAGCCGACUCUUCCUCUACUAAUGGGUCUGAGUGACGCAGAAAUUCAGAAUUAUAACUGCUCUCUGUAGAUUCCACAAACCCAUUUGGCAGGUUGGACUGUGGGACCCGGAAUCCUUCGGGAUUCCUGCCCUAGUGGGGACUGGACAGGAAGCAACCAAACAUUAGUUUAGAUACGGCCGGAAGCCACCUGGCAGGCGUAAUCAAAGCCCCAAAAGUGUAAAUUGCGCAACAGGAAGUCCUGGUCGGGCCUCAUUCUGUAAAGUUCUCUUGGUAAUGGGGGAAGAUCAAAGCAACCUUCUGGUUGUGAGACAGUUAGAGGCAGAGAGGGGAAUGCCAGAAAAUUUGAGACAAACAUAAUCCGUUGGACUUUGACCCCCACCAAGACCCCUAUUGCAAAUCCCUCACAGAGGGGCAGUCCUGAUGUGGUUGAUGUGACCCCUCCAACAUGUAAGUCGUGCCCAGAAUACAUCUAUAAAGGCAAGACAUUCAAUGCAUUGUUUCCUAUAUCCAGUGCCUGUGCUGCCCUGUAGUGGUCACCUUCAAUCUGACAUGCAGCACAGAGCAAGCCCAGCUUCUAGAAGCUGCUGAUGGGUAGAAAGAGGGGGAGAUUAUGGGAGGAAUGGGAAAUGAGCAGAAGAGCCAGGAAGGUUCUGGAGAGCUGAGCCGGAGUCUGCAGGCUGCGAGAAGGUGGUGGGUACGCCCGUAACAUCAGCACUUGGAAGGCUGCGGAAAGCAAGAGGAUCCGAAGUUUUAUUUGAGACUGGGUUGUUUACUAAUAACCUGUGCGCUCGGUUCCCAUACGCCUAAAAAAGUGUGCUUCUAAUAAAGUCACCGAGGAGAA
This 1305-nucleotide small RNA is filed under the name Rattus norvegicus (Norway rat). RNAcentral's name for it is "uncharacterized LOC102548141". Lineage: Eukaryota; Metazoa; Chordata; Mammalia; Rodentia; Muridae. The record is from RNAcentral.